RNAcentral lists this ribosomal RNA (1132 nucleotides) under human gut metagenome. Its description in RNAcentral is "bacterial LSU rRNA". It matches the Rfam family "Bacterial large subunit ribosomal RNA", at positions 1287 to 2496 of the family's 2925-position model. The record is from RNAcentral.
AGUGAGAAUGCCGGAAUGAGUAGCGAGAAUUAUGUGAGAAUCAUAAUGGCCGAAAGCCUAAGGUUUUUGGAGGAAGGUUCGUCCGCUCCAAGUAAGUCGGAAGCUAAGGUGAGGCUGAAAAGCGUAGCCGAUGCACAAACGGUUGAAAUUCCGUUACCACAGAAAGAUUUAAACUAAGGGACACUUUUGAAGAGCUGAUGCCGGGUGUUGGUUACCCCGGUCGUAAGGGAACGAAAUUAAGUAGUGAAGUCAGCGUGGAUGAAGGCGAGAAAAGCUUAGUGUAUAUCUUAUGUGUCCGUACCGCAAACCGACACAGGUAGGUAGGAAGAGAAUUCUAAGGCCAACGGGAGAAGGGUAGUUAAGGAACUCGGCAAAAUGUCCCCGUAACUUCGGAAUAAGGGGAGGUUUCUACGGAAACCCGCAGAGAAUAGUCCCAGGCAACUGUUUAUCAAAAACACAGCUCUAUGCUAAAUCGAAAGAUGACGUAUAUGGGGUGACGCCUGCCCGGUGCCGGAAGGUUAAGAGGAGGAGUGAGAGCCCUGAAUCGAAGCCCCGGUAAACGGCGGCCGUAACUAUAACGGUCCUAAGGUAGCGAAAUUCCUUGUCAGGUAAGUUCUGACCCGCACGAAUGGCGUAAUGAUCUGGGAGCUGUCUCAACUGCCCGCCCGGCGAAAUUGUAGUACCGGUGAAGAUGCCGGUUACCCGCGACUAGACGGAAAGACCCCAUGGAGCUUUACUGUAGCUUAAUAUUGGAUUUCGGCAUUUCAUGUACAGGAUAGGUGGGAGACUAGGAAACAUAGGCGUCAGCUUAUGCGGAGUCGUCCUUGGGAUACCACUCUUGGAGUGCUGAAAUUCUAACCUGCAGCCCUGAAUCGGGUUGGGGGACAUUGUUAGGUGGGCAGUUUGACUGGGGCGGUCGCCUCCAAAAAGGUAACGGAGGCGCUCAAAGGUUGGCUCAGCAUGGAUGGAAACCAUGCCAUAGAGUGCAAACGCAAAAGCCAGCCUGACUGCGAGACUGACGGGUCGAGCAGAAACGAAAGUUGGAGUUAGUGAUCCGGCGGUAUGUGAAUGGAAAUGCCGUCGCUCAACGGAUAAAAGCUACCCUGGGGAUAACAGGCUGAUCUCCCCCAAG